AGAAGUCAAUAGACCAGACAUUGUGGUAACACUCUCUUUCAUGGCAGGGCUAUAUAAGGAUAAAACUUAGUUAGCAGCCAUGGCGGAUGAGUACUGUUUCCUCUAAUUUGUCUGAGAAAAGGCGAAUCUGAGU
This is a small nucleolar RNA of Arabidopsis thaliana (thale cress), 133 nucleotides long. The record is from RefSeq. NCBI's taxonomy places the organism in Eukaryota, Viridiplantae, Streptophyta, Magnoliopsida, Brassicales, Brassicaceae.